UUAGCAGGUCUGAUUGAAAUUGCAAUUGUUCCAUCUCCUUUAAACAUGUUUUUAAGCAGAAAUCGAAGAGUUAUGGAUAUAUUAGUUUUGUGCUGGGUGCGUCUGACACCCAGAAGGAAGCGUAUUCGACCGCAUUAAGUAUGUUUGACGCCUAGUUCACAGAGACUUUAGAAGAGUUCGUCUCCUAGCGUACUGGAGUGAGAUAGAAAAACAGCUGACUUGGUGUGAGAAGUGAAAAAGAAAGAGAUAGAGAUAGAUGUGGAUGUAGCGGGAUAAGAAACCGUACUGGAAAAAUGGUAAAAAUAAAAAAUUCAAAAAUAAAUCGUCGCCAAAAUGCACUUGCUUGUAUAUUUCAACCAACCAAUCAAAAUGGAUGCAACCGUCGGCCGCUUCGGCAUUCGAGGCGUGGUUCUAGGCGCAUGGUUCUUUGCUUCCAAGCCGAUGGACCACAAAUGGGCUAUACUUGAUAGAGCUUGGAUGCACUAAAAUUAGGUCCGUGCCCAAAGUCAUAUCGUUAAAAUCACUUAUAUUUUGGUUAAUGCUGUUGUAGGGGCUUAACGGGCUGCGACUUUCCGAAUGCCUGCUUCCCGGCUUUUGGUUUCUUGGCGUUCGGUUUGAAUUCUAAUCGGAAUUCAAUUUCAUUAUUCCUUUUUAUUUAUAUUUAUUACUUCUUAUAACGUUAGGCAACAAAAUCAAACUUUGAUUUACGCUUCAGCCAAAUCAACUUUUCCUAAUAGAUUUGGGGCUGUAAAAAUUUAUAAUGAUCUAUGGUUUUUUCAUUAUUUUUAACUUUAUCAAAAUGUUUUUUCAAAGGAAGAUUCACAUAAUUUAAGUAUCUUUCAUCUGGUUGCUUUAAACUAUGCAAUUCUAA
This 871-nucleotide small RNA is filed under the name Drosophila pseudoobscura pseudoobscura. Its description in RNAcentral is "GA30524". The record is from RNAcentral. Lineage: Eukaryota; Metazoa; Arthropoda; Insecta; Diptera; Drosophilidae.